GACGAACGCUGGCGGCGUGCUUAACACAUGCAAGUCGAACGAAGAGCGAUGGAUGCUUGCUUCUAUCAAUCUUAGUGGCGAACGGGUGAGUAACGCGUAAUCAACCUGCCCUUCAGAGGGGGACAACAGUUGGAAACGACUGCUAAUACCGCAUACGAUCUAAUCUCGGCAUCGAGGAAAGAUGAAAGGUGGCCUCUAUUUAUAAGCUAUCACUGAAGGAGGGGAUUGCGUCUGAUUAGCUAGUUGGAGGGGUAACGGCCCACCAAGGCGAUGAUCAGUAGCCGGUCUGAGGGGAUGAACGGCCACAUUGGGACUGAGACACGGCCCAGACUCCUACGGGAGGCAGCAGUGGGGAAUCUGCCGCAAUGGACGAAAGUCUGACGGAGCAACGCCGCGUGAGUGAUGACGGCCUUCGGGUUGUAAAGCUCUGUUAAUCGGGACGAAAGGCCUUCUUGCGAACAGUUAGAAGGAUUGACGGUACCGGAAUAGAAAGCCACGGCUAACUACGUG
This 510-nucleotide ribosomal RNA is filed under the name uncultured bacterium. Its description in RNAcentral is "partial 16S ribosomal RNA". It matches the Rfam family "Bacterial small subunit ribosomal RNA", at positions 28 to 507 of the family's 1533-position model. The record is from RNAcentral.